RNAcentral lists this long non-coding RNA (1171 nucleotides) under Eucalyptus grandis. Its description in RNAcentral is "long non-coding RNA (EGRA_LNC007769)". The record is from RNAcentral. Lineage: Eukaryota; Viridiplantae; Streptophyta; Magnoliopsida; Myrtales; Myrtaceae.
GCUCUCGUUUUGUCGAGUUUUCUCUCUAUCAUGGAUAGAGUUCUUCCUCUUCGUUCAACCUUGUUUCUUCAUCAGCUGAUUAUCUGGGUUUUAUCUCCGCCGCUAUUGCACUGCUAGUGGCAACUCGUCCUCUACUUCUAAUCUGUUUUCCAAUCCAUUCUCCAUGCAACUCACCCAUAUUUCACAUACCAGACUUCGCUCCUUUUCCCUCGUCCUUUCCGUGUUUCGCCUUUUCAUCAUCUGGGUUUUUUAUUCCUUUGCAUGUCCACCUUUGUAUGAUCUACGGCCUUCUCUUUUACGGCAACCUCCCUUUCCUUCGCCAUGGCUUGAUGAUUUGGUUUUUUCCCUUCCUGGGGUUUCAGUUCCAUCUGCAUGUUCCGGUUUUCUUACUCUUCCUCUGACUCCUAUCGGGUGACAUUCCUUCUUUACUAAUGGCUAGCGCCGAUGAUCUAGAAACAUCACGAAUUGCAGCACUAUGUCAAAAAUUGGGACGAUUAUGCUCAGAAAAAGAAAUUGAAGAAUGGCAUGUUCAACCCCCACCUGAAGCAGUUGAGGAAUGUAAGUUGACUUUAAUAGGUAAGAUUUCCUCGAAUCCUUCCUUUAAUUUCCAAGCUUUCCAAUCGGUUUUGAAGAGGGCAUGGAAGUCAGAGAAGGUUGAACUCCUGCAACGAGAAGAGGGUAUUUAUCUAGCCAAAUUCAGGUCUCAAGCGGAAAAACAAAGAGUUCUAGACACUGGACCUUGGCAAUUUUCGGGCCACCUCAUUAAUUUCAAACCUUGGGUCGCCGACACACCUCUGCACUGUUAUGACUUUUCUACCUGUGCGUUCUGGGUUCAGGUUAUUGGCCUACCUCUUGAAUGCUGUACCGAUGAUAUGAUUCGUAAAGCAGUAAGUACCGUUGGCCCUGUUUUGCAAAUAAAAUCUGAUUUUGUUCCUGGAUCCACCCUCCGAGCUGGUCGAGCACGGAUUGAACUGCCGUUAUCUGAACCUUUAAAGGUCGGUCGACUCAUUAAAUACAAUAACCACACUCUCUGGCUGGAUUUUAAGUACGAAAGAUUACCUCACUACUGUUACUCCUGUGGUCGAUUGGGUCAUUACACUGAUGCUUGUCCGUCUAUCCUUUUUGAGGAAACUAUGAUAACGGACUCGGAGAAAACACCUUAUGGUCCCUG